Molecule: ribosomal RNA, 468 nt
Filed under: uncultured bacterium
Lineage: Bacteria
Description: partial 16S ribosomal RNA
Rfam family: Bacterial small subunit ribosomal RNA
Source: RNAcentral
GACGAACGCUGGCGGCGUGCUUAACACAUGCAAGUCGAACGGAAAGGCCCUGCUUUUGUGGGGUGCUCGAGUGGCGAACGGGUGAGUAACACGUGAGUAACCUGCCCUUGACUUUGGGAUAACUUCAGGAAACUGGGGCUAAUACCGGAUAGGAUCUCCUGCUGCAUGGUGGGGGUUGGAAAGUUUCGGCGGGUGGGGAUGGACUCGCGGCUUAUCAGCUAGUUGGUGGGGUAGUGGCUUACCAAGGCUUUGACGGGUAGCCGGCAUGGGAGGGUGGACGGCGACAUUAGGACUAAGAGACGGCGCAGACUCCUACGGGAGGCAGCGGGGGGAAAUAUUGCACAAUGAGCGGAAGCCUGAGGAGGCGACGCCGCGGGCGGGAUGACGGCCUUCGGGUUGUAAACAGCUUUCGCCUGUGACGAAGCGUGAGUGACGGUAAUGGGUAAAGAAGCACCGGCUAACUACGUG